Molecule: ribosomal RNA, 1761 nt
Filed under: Triticum aestivum (bread wheat)
Lineage: Eukaryota; Viridiplantae; Streptophyta; Magnoliopsida; Poales; Poaceae
Description: partial small subunit ribosomal RNA
Source: RNAcentral
AUGGGCGGCGACGAGCGGCACCUGGGGAGGACCAUGAGCUUCGGGAUCCCGGACGUGGCGCUGGGGCUGGUCAUGGGGUGCGUGGAGGACCCCUGGGACCGCGACGCCAUCUCGCUCGUCUGCCGCCACUGGUGCAAGGUCGACGCGCUCAGCCGCAAGCACGUCACCGUCGCCAUGGCCUACUCCACCACCCCCGACCGCCUCUUCCGCCGCUUCCCCUGCCUCGAGUCGCUCAAGCUCAAGGCCAAGCCCCGCGCCUCCAUGUUCAACCUCAUCCCCGAGGACUGGGGCGGCUCCGCCUCGCCCUGGAUCCGCGAGCUCUCCGCCUCCUUCCACUUCCUCAAGGUGCUGCACCUCCGCCGGAUGAUUGUCUCCGACGACGACGUCGCCGUGCUCGUGCGCGCCAAGGCCCACAUGCUCGUCUCCCUCAAGCUUGACCGCUGCUCCGGCUUCUCCACCUCCUCCCUCGCUCUCCUCGCCCGCUGCUGCAAGAAACUGGAAACGUUGUUUCUUGAAGAAAGUUCUGUUGCUGAGAAAGAAAAUGAUGAAUGGCUCCGCGAGCUUGCUACCAGCAAUACUGUCCUUGAGACGCUGAAUUUCUUUCUGACGGAUCUCAGGGCAUCCCCAGCAUAUCUUUUCCUUCUUGUGCGAAAUUGCCGAAGGCUGAAAACUCUCAAGAUUAGCGACUGUUUCAUGUCUGACCUGGUCGACCUGUUCCGUACAGCAGAAACACUACAAGACUUUGCUGGUGGUUCCUUUGAUGAUCAAGAUCAAGGUGGGAAUUAUGCUAACUACUAUUUCCCUCCUUCGGUACAGCGCUUGAGUUUGCUCUACAUGGGAACAAAUGAGAUGCAGAUAUUAUUUCCAUAUGGUGCCACACUCAAGAAGUUAGACCUUCAGUUUACGUUCCUUACCACAGAGGAUCACUGUCAAUUAGUCCAGCGAUGCCCAAAUCUAGAAGUUUUGGAGGUGAGGGAUGUGAUAGGAGACCGAGGGUUAGAAGUUGUUGCGCGGACCUGCAAGAAAUUACAGCGACUCAGAGUCGAGAGAGGAGACGAUGACCAAGGAGGUCUUGAGGACGAACAGGGUAGAGUGACACAAGUAGGAUUGAUGGCUGUAGCUGAAGGCUGUCCUGAUUUGGAGUACUGGGCAGUACAUGUGUCUGACAUUACAAAUGCAGCUCUUGAGGCCAUUGGUGCGUUCAGCAAAAACCUGAACGAUUUCCGACUUGUCCUGCUUGAUAGAGAGGUGCAUAUAACUGAACUGCCCCUUGACAACGGGGUUCGGGCUUUGCUGAGAGGUUGCACCAAACUCCGGAGGUUUGCAUUUUAUGUGAGACCUGGAGCUCUAUCAGAUAUUGGCCUUUCUUAUGUUGGCGAAUUUGGCAAGACUGUCCGCUACAUGUUGCUUGGGAAUGCUGGGGGAUCUGAUGAUGGACUGCUGGCAUUUGCACGAGGAUGCCCAAGCUUGCAGAAAUUGGAGCUAAGGAGUUGCUGCUUUAGUGAACGUGCAUUGGCAGUUGCAGCCUUACAGCUGAAGUCACUCAGAUAUCUUUGGGUGCAGGGAUACAAGGCAUCUCCUACCGGCACCGAUCUCAUGGCAAUGGUACGCCCCUUCUGGAACAUUGAGUUUAUUGCACCAAAUCAAGAUGAGCCUUGCCCAGAGGGUCAGGCACAGAUUCUGGCAUACUACUCUCUGGCUGGGGCAAGGACAGAUUGUCCUCACUCAGUAAUUCCCCUCUAUCCGUCAGUCGGAAGCUAA